AACGAACGCUGGCGGCAGGCUUAACACAUGCAAGUCGAACGCAUCCUUCGGGGUGAGUGGCAGACGGGUGAGUAACGCGUGGGAACGUGCCCUUCAGUUCGGAAUAACCCAGGGAAGCUUGGGCUAAUACCGGAUACGUGCGAGAGCAGAAAGAUUUAUCGCUGAAGGAUCGGCCCGCGUCUGAUUAGCUAGUUGGUGAGGUAAUGGCUCACCAAGGCGACGAUCAGUAGCUGGUCUGAGAGGAUGAUCAGCCACAUUGGGACUGAGACACGGCCCAAGCUCCUACGGGAGGCAGCAGUGGGGAAUAUUGGACAAUGGGCGCAAGCCUGAUCCAGCCAUGCCGCGUGAGUGAUGAAGGCCUUAGGGUUGUAAAGCUCUUUCAGUGGGGACGAUAAUGACGGUACCCGCAGAAGAAGCCCCGGCUAACUUCGUGCCAGCCGCCGCGGUAA
RNAcentral lists this ribosomal RNA (449 nucleotides) under uncultured bacterium. RNAcentral describes it as "partial 16S ribosomal RNA". It matches the Rfam family "Bacterial small subunit ribosomal RNA", at positions 29 to 523 of the family's 1533-position model. The record is from RNAcentral.